Small nucleolar RNA from Bufo bufo (common toad), 80 nucleotides. Lineage: Eukaryota; Metazoa; Chordata; Amphibia; Anura; Bufonidae. The record is from RefSeq and is a predicted model, not a curated record.
AGUGCAUGUGAUGACUUCAUUUCAUGCUGCGAAUUUCUGAAAUUGCAAUGUGGAAAACUCCUUGGAGAGCUGAGCACUCU